CAGCCAUCUUGGGACAGUGAUGCAGCCCCAAGUUGAAGCUGCUGGAGUUCAGAGGGAGAGAGCGUUCUGUAGGGAAACCACACUCCCUGGCCACGGUGACCCGCCGCUCUGGGGCUUUUCCCAGCUUGCUUUGGUACCAGACACUUCUGGAGGGCCUUCACUUCAGAGGACCCGGGCACCCAGGCAGCUGGGGAAAGGAGGUGGUGCCAGGCCACCCUGUGCUUCCCUAGAGAGGGGAGAGGUGGCGUGGCCUGUGGCUUUGGCAUUUUCGUGGGAAGUAGGAGACAGCAUCUAUGCCCAGAAACAGUCACCAUUUGCCCUGUGACCCCGGGAGAGCUGCCGCGAUGGUCUGGGCUUUAACUUGGAAGCCCUUUGGAAUAGGGUUUUCAGGACUGGAGGCUCCAGGCAGAGGACGAUCACCAAGCCUUGUCUCCCCCACAUCAGAAGGUGGGACUGAGAGCGUGUAUGGGGGCUCCAGGCACCAGCAAGAUUCUUUGCCACCUGGAGAGACACCCUACGGGGGGCGUCGGCAGCUGGCACAUGAAACCAGGGUCUGACUAGGCCCUGUUUUGGUCUCCAGUGACCCUCACUGGUCAUCUCCUAUAAUUAUUGUCCUGUUUCCUGUCCGUCUGGGGACAAGGGGCCUGGGACAGUGGGGCUCUGGCAAUGCUGUGUCAUCUUUCUUUCUUCUCUUUAAUGUUUUUUAAAUGCUUAUUUAUUUUUGAAAGACAAAGAGCACAAGAGGGAGACACAGAAUCCGAAGCAGGCUCCAGGCUUGGAGCUGUCAGCACAGAGCCCGAUGCGGGGCUCGAACCCACGAACCGUGAGAUCGUGACCUGAGCCAAAGGCGGGCGCUUAACCGACUGAACCACCCAGACGCCCCGCGUCUUCUUUCUGACAACAAAUAACGUGUGGCUUUUCCACACUACAACCAAUUCUGUACUCUCUGAAACCAACCCUGUGUCCCAUAAUUCAAUCCUUUUCUGACGCUAACGACCCAGAGUUAGUGUCAGACCCCCCAGGUCACAGGGCUCAGUCCCACAAGACCACCCCCACUCCAAACACCAGUCACAAGUCCUGACUGACUGGCUGUAAAUCAUGAGUUCUCACAGCCUCCUCUCAGGUGCAAUAAUUCCACAGAACGACUCACAGAACUCAGAGAAACACUUUAUUUAUGUUCACCAGUUUAUUAGAAAGGACGCGACCGAUGGAAGAGACGCUCAGGGUAAGAAAUGAGGGAGGGGUGGGGUGGCAGAACUCCCCCGCCCUCCCUGCGCACCAUAUCCCCAGCACAUCAGUAUUUUCACCAGCGCGGAAGCUCUCCAAACCCUGUUGGUUAGGGGGUUUUAUGGAGGCUCCGUUAUGGAGGCAUGGUUGAUUAAAUCAAUGGCUGCUGGUAAUUGGAACUCAAUCUCCAGUCCCUCUCUAGAGUUCCAAACCUCUAACCCAGGCUCAGGCUUUCUGGCCACCAGCCCCCAUCCUGAAGCUGUGUAGCCCCCCCCCCCCACACACACAUUCCAACCCAGCUGGAGUCCUGGCAUCAGCACGCAAAAGACACUCUUAUCACUCAGGAAGAUUCCAAGGGCUGGAGGAGCUCUUUGCCAGGAACCCCGGACGAAGACCGGACCAGAUGUUUUUAUUUUAUUUUAUUUCAUAUAGUAUUUUUUAUUAUACCACAAGCAACUUGCAGUUACCCUCCAGUCCUCAGCGGGACGACCAAGUGUGGGCUGAGCUUGGGUUUCUCAAACAUCCCCCCAAAGCAUAUCUUUGGGUCACCAGGCAGACCCCCAGGGUUUUUUCCAGUGGGACGUUUUCUAGGGCAGCCCCACCCUGCACAUUGUCUAGUUAAUCAGGCCCUAAGCGAAAGACCCAGAGAGACAGAAAGGAGGGUAAAGAUACUCUCCCAUCGCCUUUGAGCCCCUUCCUGGAGGACCUGAGAGCAUCCGUCCUCAUUUCCCGGGCUGAGUCUCCAUGUCUCGGGAGCAGGACCCGCGCAUUCCUUGAUAAAUAACGCAUCUAAUCCCAGUUUUUCAGGAGCUCACCUGGUCCAGACUUCACGAUAGGGACUUCUCUUCCUCCUCCUCCCACCUGAACAUGCAAACACCCCAUCUCCCCAGAGGGUAGAGAGGCCAGAACAGACUUCUGGGAGUGUGUGGACAGAGACACGAAAACAAACUUGGCCCCUGGCAAUUUUCCUCUCUGGGUUUUAUAAACCAGUGCAGUUUCUGAGUGAAAUCGGAUCCAUGUGGGUCCUGAUUCAUUUGCGCACUGGGAAAGUGUUUGUGCAUGAGAGAGAAGGAGAUCCCAGGGGCCCCUUUCAGUUGAUUUAACAAAUCCCUUUCAAGCUUUUAUUUUUUCAUUAGGAAGCAGAAGUUGCUUGUUCCCAAACCACACACGCACACAAAGGCACAUAUACACACACCUCACUGGUUUCAAAUUCUGUACCUCUCCAGGCCCUUCAGCCUGGAAUGUCCCCAUGAACCAAGAGUUAGGAGACACUUUUCCAUCUCCCCCACUUAGCACCUGCUGAGAAAGGGCCCAAGAAAGAAGUCUAGGAAGAACUUGCAGGAACUGGGUGGAAAGGAGGAGGGUGCCCUCCUGCCCUGGGAAGCCAGUGCCCUUGCAGCCUCCUGUGUCAGAAGGACAGUGGUGGCUCCAGACCCACCUUUCUCCCGUCUGGGUUCAACUUCAGUUUGGUGGGAGGGUCUUGGGCUAAGAACAAAGACCCAAAGGGGAGGGGGACGGCCUGAGCCAUGCCGUUGGUUUCCCAUUGUCUCUGCUGGGCAGGACCUUCCAGAAGCACCCACAGCAGCCCUUCACCCACAACAUCAGACACAGACUCCAAGGUAAAUGGAAGAGAAAUGGAGUCCAGGGAGAGCUCAGCUGUGGUCCCAGCUCCCCGGUUACUGGCUUUGUGAACGUGACCACGUCACUGAACCACUGAGCCUCAUUGCCCUGUCUCUGCAACAUCUAUAAUCUGAUUACCUUCCAGAAACCAAUGAGGAUGGGCACGAAGGUACUUUGUAAACUGCUAAGUCCUAUGGAAAGGUGAGGUGUUGGAAGUACCUAUCUUGGGAGGUGUCAGUUAACAGUCCUAUUUGUAAAUGUUCUCAGGACAAGGGCUAGGGCAACUUCCCCCAGUCACUGUGUCAUAAGUGACAUAAGGCAAGUCCUUCCUAGCAUCCACUUGAGUUGCUUCUGAAGCAUCUUGCGUCUCACGUCAUCAGAGGACCUGAGCAUGCUGUCCCGUGACAAGUUGUCCCGACUGUCUGUGUGCAUGAACUGUGCACAUGUCCCCCGGUGGGAGAGUGAGCGUGGCCGGGACGGGAGGAGGGCGGGACUCUGGUAGGGUCUCCCCUCUGAGGCCUGGACCUCAGGGAGCAGUGCAGCACCUCCGUUGCCUACCGAGCCACAGAGCAAGGUCUCUCUCCUUCCUUCCUCAGAAGGAAAGUCACCUGAGCCGCUUUGGCCGGUUUUCAAAUCAGUGGGUGUGAAAACGCACCCAGAUCUCAGGUUAUGAAGUGGGUCAUUUUCAUCUGUGCAAUUUGUACCCACUGACCUUGUAGCCUCCCCGAAGAUGGGGUACCUUCUCACCUCCUCCCUCCAACCUAAUCUGCAUCUGAUUUGCUGGCGUAUCUCAGACUCAUCUGCACCUUUUGGAGCCAUUUCCUUCCACUUAGGAGUAAAUGGUGGGGCCAGGGAGCAUGCUGAUGGGAAUGGCACUCACCCAGGGGUGGCCCUUCUUUCUCUCGUGCCCUUCUAGGACCUUGCCUGGCACACAGGGAGGCCCCAGUGCACCGAGCUUUGCAGCCUGCCUCUGUCUGCACCCACAAUGCAAUCACACAACCUGUCUGUGAGCAUAAAAACAGGUUUUCUCUUCUAAUGACUCCCUUAACUGAGCUGGUGGCUGCCCUCCCUCAGGGCCCGUGGGUAAGAGCACGGGAGAAAGACGGCCCCUUGCCUCCGCAUCCCUCGGCCCCUCCUCCCCUCCGUCUCUUGGAAGCAGAGGUGCACAGAUGGACACAUUCCUUGGAUGGGCUCAGCGCGGGGAAGAGGGGAGAGUACGCUGAGCGACAGGAGGUGGGAUGCACGGUCCCCACGGGGCUCCCCCUCUCCUGCCAGCCCCAUCUCGGUUCCAUUAACCUUGCUCCGCAUGUGCUGUGUUAAUGGGCUGGGAAGGACGGAUCACCCUGCUCGCCUACAGAAAGAGCAGCUGCUACAUGUUGCCAACCUCAACGGUGGCUGGGAGGGCGGGACUCAGGGCCCAGGCGGCCCUGGCUUGUGACCUGGCUUCCCGCUGCACCCCUCACCCCUGCCCCAGGGCGAUGUGAAGGGUGAAGGGCAGCCUGAUGCUGACAGGCCUGGAGGAAAAGUCCUCCCUUGAUCCUCGGAGCCCCUCCUCAACAGCAAGGGAGACUCCAUAAUGUCAACUUCCUAAGUGCAGUAAAAGGGUCUUUGACUAAGCAUCCGUUCUAUUAACUCUUCCACUUCCGCCGGUGGGCCUCGGAAUUCACUCACAGGCUUGUGAGGAAGAGGAAGCCGUGAGGCAGGUUUCACGGAAGCAGGAGGACAAGCAAUGUGGCAAGUUGAAUGUCACAGGCUCGAGUGGUGCAGAGACCCAGCACUGGUGAUGCCUCCAUGGCUGAGGAUGGGCACGAAGGUACUUUGCAAACUGCCAGGUCCUAUGGAAAGGUGAGGUGUUGGAAGUACCUGUCUUGGGAGGUGUCAGUUCUAUUUGUAAAUGUUCUCGGGGAAGGGCAAAGGUGGCUAGAAAUCUCCCAGAGAUUUCUCCUUGCCACAUUUCACAGUGCUAUCCCUGAGCGGGGCUAGACCCAGUCUUGUGAAUCGAGGCAGGAUCGCAGUGUCAACGGACAAGGAAAGAAUAAAGCCAUGGGCAUGGGAGGGAGAAGUGAGAAGCCACAGAAGAGAGGGCAGAUGAGUCCUUUUGGUGGUAGAGUCUGGAAAGAGAAGUGCUGGCUUUUGGGGGGCCUUGGGGAACCACCCUGGACCCUCCCCCCAUGUCACCUCGUCUUCCUGCCUAAGCCUCAUGCCACAGCUCCUGUCCUGGAAUGUUGUCCUGAAUAUCUUUGCAGCAAAUCUCCAUGUGCUGGACAGACUCUAGAUAAGCUGGGGGAAAUAGCCCAGGGUUUCCCCAUUUUACCUGAUUAAAAAUCACAUGGGCAGUUUGUUAAACCUACAGAUUCCUGGGUUCUUUCCCAGACCAAAGAGCGGGAUCUCCAGAAUGGAUCAGUACGUGCACUUUUCACCAACACCCAGAGUGGGUCUUACAGCAAGUUUGGGAAACAAUGGCUUACUCUCGUCCCCCUUAAUUCAUCCAUGAAAGACGGCUGAGUUAAGUGAGCACAGCCACACUGCUUAAAAAAGAGGGGGAAAUGCCCAUCUGGGGGUGCAGCCGGGCAAAAAAGGAGACUGCACAAAUUUCUUAACCCUUCUUUUCCUCCCUAGCCCCAAGGCAGGAUAUUCUAACAGUUGGAGCAGUUUCCCCGAGGAUGGAUGUGAUAUCCGGGCCCCUUCCAGGACCAUGAAUUAACUGCUGCUCGGUUACCAUCUUCAGGGGUAGGCAAGAGGAAAAUUCCAGUUCUGGAAUUUUCUAAGUCCAAUCGUCACUACAUAUCCAUUUUCCUCUGCCUCUGUGGUAAUAGAAUUUUCAGCUGAACAACAUAACAGCCGGAAUUCCAGCCUCCCUUUCAGCUUCACGUGGCCACACCACGAAACCGUGGCCAAAGGGAUGUGAGUAAAAGUAACGUAGGCAACUUAUGGAUCAAGGCUGGUAGAAAAGAUGAGGAAGUGAAGGCACCGGGCCGCUGAGCGUCUCGCCAAGUAUUACUUCCGGUGCAACGGGGGCUCGGCCCCUCCCCUCCAGAUGUCCAGCGCAGGCUUCCUCCUGUGACAACCACGCGCAUUUCUCCCAUCCUAUCGCGAUCCAUUACGGUUCCUGCUACUGAUCUCUCUGGGAGCUCAGAUCUGUCUUCAGUCGGGAACUCACAAAGCCUUGUUGUCAGUGGUGUGGAAGAAAUUCAGUUAGAAGCGUCCCCAAGUACAUCUCUGGACCCAUCCUUGGCGGGCAGGAGGGUGAUCUUCUCAAUGAUAUGCAAUCAGUGUUUUUAUCGUCUGGACUUUAAAGACGAGAAGACUGAGGUUCAGAGCCGUUGAGUAGCUUGCCCAAGGUCACACAGCCACUUAAUGACCUAUUCAAGGCCCGGACCCAUAUCCAUCCAGUUUUCUUCUUUACAGUUACAUGUAUGCAGUUGUCUCCUAACCAGACCGUAAGCUCCAUGACGAAAGGGUUUGGAUUCCCACAUCUGAAACGGUGCCAGCAUCCAGGCGCAGAAUGGGCUCUCGGUAAAUAUAUAUUAAGUACGUGCACGAAUAAAUGAACGAGCCCCACUAUGACUAUGUCACGGAAGCAAACGGCUUCAUAUCCACUCCCUACCUGAAGCCCCGGAACAGAGUAGUUAAGGACGGGGCACUGGGGUGUUACACUCCCAGGGGACAAGGGUGAGGUGAGCCUACGCUCUCUGCUCUCUGCAUGGUCUGGACGACAGAGACUGCCUGCCUUACUGUCUCCUAGAUAUUUACUUCAUCACACCCCAGUGCAAGCUUCCCGUCGGUCACACGUCUCCCUGAUAGGCCCCUGCGCCGAAACGCCCCGUGCCCCUUGGCACCCAUGAUCAUGGCGUAGGCAUCCGUCCUCCAUCUUGUCAAACAGCUGUCACACCUUGACAGCAGAUGGCCUUGGCAAUCUUGGCAAUCCAGCCGGACAAGUUUCUACCUGAACUUUGGCUCAGCCAGUGCCUGGAUGGAGGAGUCAGAAAGGAGACCUAGAAAGGAAAGUACCUUCUGUUUUCUCAUUCCCAACCGCACAGGGCUGGGGGAAAGAGAUAUGCUAAUGGCCGUGGGGAAACACCAGUGGGAAUAUACCUGCUUUGGACAGAUAGGAGCUAGGGUCCCCCACUCAUCCCCUUGCCUCCAGGUAUGCCUGCACACAACUCACCUGCGACAGACCUGUUCUUCCACAGCCCCCAGACAGGAAGCUCUCUGAUAUCAUAUCUAUCUGCCACGUUCAGUCCCUCCCCAUGGGCAACGCCACAGGGGUGGGGAAAUCCAACGAUCUGAUGAUUCUCUCCAGGGGCUCGGGAUGGAACAAGCAUCGGUUCUCAGCCCAGCUUCUCAAAUGUAUGUGUUGUUACUGCUGCUAUUUUCCAGGACCUGCUCUAUUUACGCCUCACUCCUCGUUGCUCCUCCUAGGACAAGAGAACUGAAUAAAUAAAGAAGGCAGGCUUAACCCCUCCCUUGGCAGGGAUAGGAAUUUGCCAGAGCCGAGUGGGAGCAGAAAGUCCGCAAGACACACACCUUGGGCCCACAAAAUGCUUUGUAUUUGGCAAAGCAUUUGCUCAUGUAAGCCCCGCAGCUGUGAGAUAUGAAGUCCAUGUUACAGCUUGCAAAAUCACUGGAAGUUUAACAGUCGACCCUCGUGAGCCAAUUCGAGCAGCCCUAGCGCCCCGUCGACCGUGCGGUACUUUCUCAGACAUCGCCCAUCUUCCCACUGAGAGAUCUGCUAGCUACCUAUCAAAAACUGGGGACACUGGGGCUAAGGGGGUGAGGUGAGAUGCCCAAGGCACCUAGCAGCUGGUGUCCUCGAGCAAGGGUGGCCUCAGGAAAAAGUAGCUGGUCUGUGGUCGGGGAGGGUGGGGGAAAUCCGAGAGGGCCAGAGGACGUUUCACACGAGGGCAGUGAGGUCGGCAAAGGUUGUGGAUGAGAGGGAGUUCAAGCCUGUGCUCACGUCGCCAUCACCAGUUCCCCUCAAGCUGCCUGGGCUGGCCUCUUAGAACAGGAUCUUGGCGGAUCUUCGUGGAGACGUAGCUGCACCCUAGUUGCAUAGGCCGUGGUUGAUCAACAGCUUAGCUGCAAAUCACUCGCCGAUCAACAUAAACACCAAGUUCGUCUGCAUGAUGGACGAUCUGCUAGCACCAGCCCCGUCAGAGUCAGUGUAUGAGGAUCAGGCCACAGGGAGUCAGGCAGAGUGUCUAGCUCUAUCUGCCCAAUGCACUAGUGUUUUACUGUCCCAGAACUUAGAGAAGGGCCAAGAGAAGAGUUGAGAGGCAGGAGCUGGCAACCCAAAGCUCAUAGGUGCACCUGCUUGCUGGGUAGGACCUGGUUUCCCUGGGGACAGCCCUACUGUCCCCUGUAAGUCAAGCAGGGCCCUGUUUCAGCUCCCAAGUUCCUUCUCUACGCACCAGUGCCCCCAAAAGGCCCAAAUGACCUUCGGGGCUCCAGAAGUGAGAGUUUUGGUGGCGAGGCCGGGCCCUCCCAAGCCUCCCCAGGCCCACCCAGGUCAUGGAUGUGAAGGGAGAGUGCUGUGUCAUCCUGAACAGCCAGGGAGGCCGAAUGGUGGCCAAAGUGCGGUCACUCAGGUUUCGCCCAGCUUAGAAGCUGAGGGCAGGGCAGGCGUCCUUGGGUUCUGGACCCUGAAACAGGUGAGGGCAGCAGAGAGAGUGUAGUCUGGGUCUGGCCGGAAAGUGGUCUACACCCUGGCUUGUAAACACAGAAAGGAGAGCCCCCAGCCCACCGCUGUCUUUUCUGAUUCCAUUAGCUGUGUGACCGUGGGCAGGUUAAAAAACUUCUCUGAGUUUCCAGUUUCUUCAUGUUACAAGAAAUGAGUUAAUAAUACAAUAAACCCUUGGCUUCCAUGAAUUUAA
Long non-coding RNA from Felis catus (domestic cat), 8720 nucleotides. RefSeq lists it as uncharacterized. NCBI's taxonomy places the organism in Eukaryota, Metazoa, Chordata, Mammalia, Carnivora, Felidae. The record is from RefSeq and is a predicted model, not a curated record. The transcript is spliced from 6 exons.